CCGGCCAGCUGGCAUCCUUCACAGCGGCAGAGGCUGCCCCUGGGGCCCGGCACACAGAGCCACAGAAAGAGCAGAUCCUCCCUGCCAUGCCCCUCUCUGGCUGGCGAUAAUAACAGGAAACUUUAAGAGGCAGAUACUAUGAACAUCUAUUACCCAAACAUCAAUACUACCGAAUUUUUUAGAGAGACACACAGAUGUCAUGCACCAAGAAAGGCCUUUUGUCAAUAUCUAAAUCAUCAGGUAAAUAGACUCUCAACCAGCUGUAACAUGUUUCAGUUAUGAAAUUAAUUUGUCUUCCUUGUAAGUAUAUUGUAUUUUGAACAGUUUGAUGCACAAAGAAACUUAUAAUGGGGGUUUGAAGAUCCAUGUUAAAAAAAUAA
This is a non-coding RNA of Cyanistes caeruleus (blue tit), 380 nucleotides long. The record is from RefSeq and is a predicted model, not a curated record. Lineage: Eukaryota; Metazoa; Chordata; Aves; Passeriformes; Paridae.